RNAcentral lists this ribosomal RNA (454 nucleotides) under Actinomyces sp. oral taxon E75. RNAcentral's name for it is "bacterial SSU rRNA". It matches the Rfam family "Bacterial small subunit ribosomal RNA", at positions 35 to 474 of the family's 1533-position model. The record is from RNAcentral. Lineage: Bacteria; Bacillati; Actinomycetota; Actinomycetes; Actinomycetales; Actinomycetaceae.
GCUGGCGGCGUGCUUAACACAUGCAAGUCGAACGGUGAAGCGCCUUCCUUUUUGGUGGGUGUGGAUGAGUGGCGAACGGGUGAGUAACACGUGAGUAACCUGCCCCCUUCUUCUGGAUAACCGCAUGAAAGUGUGGCUAAUACGGGAUAUUCUGGGUCUGUCGCAUGAUGGGUCUGGGGAAGGUUUUUUUCUGGUGGGGGAUGGGCUCGCGGCCUAUCAGCUUGUUGGUGGGGUGAUGGCCUACCAAGGCGGUGACGGGUAGCCGGCCUGAGAGGGUGGACGGUCACACUGGGACUGAGACACGGCCCAGACCUCUACGGGAGGCAGCAGUGGGGAAUAUUGCACAAUGGGCGCAAGCCUGAUGCACGACGCCGCGUGAGGGAUGGAGGGCUCCGGGUUGUGAACCUCUUUCGCCAGUGAAGCAAGGCCUGCCUCGUUUGUGGGUGGGUAGACG